Molecule: ribosomal RNA, 272 nt
Filed under: uncultured soil bacterium
Lineage: Bacteria
Description: partial 16S ribosomal RNA
Rfam family: Bacterial small subunit ribosomal RNA
Source: RNAcentral
CAGAACGAACGCUGGCGGCAUGCCUAAUACAUGCAAGUCGAACGAACACUUCGGUGUUAGUGGCGCACGGGUGCGUAACGCGUGGGAAUCUGCCCUUGGGUUCGGAAUAACAGUUGGAAACGACUGCUAAUACCGGAUGAUAUCGAAAGAUCAAAGAUUUAUCGCCCAGGGAUGAGCCCGCGUAGGAUUAGCUAGUUGGUGAGGUAAAGGCUCACCAAGGCGACGAUCCUUAGCUGGUCUGAGAGGAUGAUCAGCCACACGUGGGACUGAGA